UACGAAGGGUGCAAGCGUUACUCGGAAUUACUGGGCGUAAAGCGUGCGUAGGCGGUUCGUUAAGUCUGUCGUGAAAGCCCUGGGCUCAACCUGGGAAUUGCGAUGGAUACUGGCGAGCUAGAGUACGGUAGAGGAGAGUGGAAUUCCCGGUGUAGCGGUGAAAUGCGCAGAUAUCGGGAAGAACACCUAUGGCGAAGGCAGCUCUCUGGGGACGGUACUGACGCUAGACGCGAAAAGCGUGGGGGAGCGAACAGG
RNAcentral lists this ribosomal RNA (255 nucleotides) under uncultured bacterium. RNAcentral describes it as "partial 16S ribosomal RNA". It matches the Rfam family "Bacterial small subunit ribosomal RNA", at positions 524 to 776 of the family's 1533-position model. The record is from RNAcentral.